UACGUAGGGGGCAAGCGUUGUCCGGAUUUAUUGGGCGUAAAGAGCGUGUAGGCGGCCAUGUAGGUCCGUUGUGAAAACUCGAGGCUCAACCUCGAGACGCCGAUGGAAACCAUGUGGCUAGAGUCCGGAAGAGGAGAGUGGAAUUCCUGGUGUAGCGGUGAAAUGCGCAGAUAUCAGGAAGAACACCCGUGGCUAAGGCGGCUCUCUAGUACGGUACUGACGCUGAGACGCGAAAGCGUGGGAGCAAACAGG
This 252-nucleotide ribosomal RNA is filed under the name uncultured bacterium. Its description in RNAcentral is "partial 16S ribosomal RNA". It matches the Rfam family "Bacterial small subunit ribosomal RNA", at positions 524 to 776 of the family's 1533-position model. The record is from RNAcentral.